Molecule: ribosomal RNA, 549 nt
Filed under: uncultured Glomeromycotina
Lineage: Eukaryota; Fungi; Glomeromycota
Description: SSU rRNA
Rfam family: Eukaryotic small subunit ribosomal RNA
Source: RNAcentral
UUGGAGGGCAAGUCUGGUGCCAGCAGCCGCGGUAAUUCCAGCUCCAAUAGCGUAUAUUAAAGUUGUUGCAGUUAAAAAGCUCGUAGUUGAAUUUCGGGGUUAGUAGGUUGGUCAUGCCUCUGGUAUGUACUGGUCUCACUGAUUCCUCCUUCCUGAUGAGCCGUAAUGCCAUUAAUUUGGUGUUGCGGGGAAUUUGGACUGUUACUUUGAAAAAAUUAGAGUGUUUAAAGCAAGCUAACGCUUGAAUACAUUAGCAUGGAAUAAUGAAAUAGGACGUUCGAUCCUAUUUUGUUGGUUUCUAGGAUUGACGUAAUGAUUAAUAGGGAUAGUUGGGGGCAUUAGUAUUCAAUUGUCAGAGGUGAAAUUCUUGGAUUUAUUGAAGACUAACUACUGCGAAAGCAUUUGCCAAGGAUGUUUUCAUUAAUCAAGAACGAAAGUUAGGGGAUCGAAGACGAUCAGAUACCGUCGUAGUCUUAACCAUAAACUAUGCCGACUAGGGAUCGGAUGAUGUUAAUUUCUUAAUGACUCAUUCGGCGCCUUACGGGAAAC